Molecule: ribosomal RNA, 490 nt
Filed under: uncultured bacterium
Lineage: Bacteria
Description: partial 16S ribosomal RNA
Rfam family: Bacterial small subunit ribosomal RNA
Source: RNAcentral
GAUGAACGCUAGCGAUAGGCUUAACACAUGCAAGUCGAGGGGCAGCAUGGUCUUAGCUUGCUAAGACUGAUGGCGACCGGCGCACGGGUGCGUAACGCGUAUGCAACUUGCCUCACAGAGGGGGAUAACCCGUCGAAAGACGGACUAAUACCGCGUACACUUGGGAUAGGGCAUCCUGACCCAAGGAAAUGAAAUUCGCUGUGAGAUAGGCAUGCGUCCCAUUAGCUAGUUGGUGAGGUAACGGCUCACCAAGGCGACGAUGGGUAGGGGAACUGAGAGGUUGAACCCCCACACUGGGACUGAGACACGGACCAGACUCCUACGGGAGGCAGCAGUGAGGGAGAUUGGUGAAUGGGCGAGAGCCUGAACCAGCCAAGUCGCGUGAAGGAUGGCUGUCUUAUGGAUUGUAAACUUCUUUUAUACGGGAAUAACAAGAGCCACGUGUGGCUCCCUGCAUGUACCGUAUGAAUAAGCAUCGGCUAACUCCGUG